UGCAGGGACAUCCAGGCAAGUCUGAUUUGUCCCUGUGGAGCUGAGAAUCGCAGUGACCGCCUGCUCUUCGUUUCUCUUCCUGCAGAGCUGUGACCCAUUUUGCGAGGAACCUUGCACAUGUCUCAUCUUCAUUAAGCUGUUCGUGAACUCCAGCUUCCGGGAGAAAGGCCAGUUCUCCCAAGACCUUCGAGGGCUAUUGGGACUGAGAAAGGCUGGGUGGGCCGGGAGGGGCUGGUGGACGUGGGGAGCGAGGUGGCGGGCCACCCCGUUGACAGACCCCUCCAGGAGAGAAGCGCUGUUGGAGCUGGGCCUGGGUGCAAAGGGGGAGAGAGGGCCAGGUGCUCUGGGAGGGAGCCCUAAUCACAAGCUGCAGGGAGGAAGAGAGGAGGAAAGGGGACGGGCCUGGGACCCCCAGUAGGGGGCUGAGCUGGGGACAGGCACAGAGCAGAAAGGAAGCCAUCUACCCUUUAAGACGCCUCCAAAAAAAAAAAAAAAAAAACCCAGGACUCCCUCGUACCUUCCAACUUGCCUGUCAGCAUCUAUUGAGCGUCUCUCAUGCGGAGCUCAAACGAGAGAAACGCAGUCUGCGCCACAGCGGGCCGGCCAGCUGCGGGGCGCCCGCCCAUUUGGAGAGAGAACGAAGAUUGCAGCGUGCUGGAGAGGACCAUGAGGGGCUCCUGGCCGGCCCUCCCUUCCCCUGCUUCAGAGAGCACUGUGACUGGCCCUCAAGCCUCGCACGCCUGCAGCCUCUGACUCCCACAGCUGGCUGCUCUUCCUGGUGGCUCCAGUCCUUUCCUCUCUCCCAGCACCCACCCAGCCCCCGACACGCCUCCCCAGGAUCACCAACACCGCACCUCCAGCUCUGCCUCUGGCGCCCUUGGCUUCCACGCGGGGGUUCCUCCAGCACGCGCUGUGGAGGCUGUGGCUCAGGAAAGCCCCAUCCACGCUCUCGGCAACUGCACCCUGGAAAGCAGCCGGCGGCCCCAUGAGCCUCACUUCACCUGACCGGUCCACAGAAUGGGUUGAAAUGAUCCAAGGCAGGUGGCUUUUUGUCCCAAAUAUGCAACAGGCACGAAGCACGGAGUUGGGAAUCCAGGAGACUUGGAUGUCCACCCUGUUCUUGCUCCCGGCGCUGGGGAACCAUGAGCCAGCCUCCAGUUCCUCAUUUAUCAGAAGUGGUUGAUGACGUGCCUUGGAAAUUCACACCAACACUAAGUAAAAUCAAAGAGAUGGCAAGGACAAACCAUGUGCCUUCAGAAACUGCUUCCCGGACACCUGCGUGCUCAUUCUCUUACCCAUGUCUCCACUCCAGUCCUGCAGGCACCUCAGGAAGGGGCUGGGUGAGUGUUGGAUCCAGUCGCAGCUGGAGAGCAGGUGAGCCAGGACCCCACCCAGGGCCGCUGUCCUAUAUCGCAGGCAAUCAUGCAUAUGGGAGAGAGAUAAAGCCCUAAAUACUCAUUUAGAGCUAGCUGAGAAGUAAAUAUAAUUCAUGGGCCAAAGAUACAGAAAUGUCUUUCCCAGCAGGAGGCAAGCUGGUGGCACCUGCUCCCCGGGGCCUGACACCCUCAUUUCUGCCUCUCAGGUACCUGAGGCUCUCAGAGGAUUUACUCCCUCUAAAGGCCAACCCGAGACCUUCACUUAGCUCAAAAUGUAGUUCAAGGAGAGAAACUAAGAAAAGGGAAUGGGAGUAGGGGAAGGAAAAAUUAUCUUUUUCUCCCACCAAAGAACGGCUUGCAAACAUGGAGAAACGUGAAGCUGCCGGACACCAUCGUGUCGGGCAUGAAUUCAGUCCCAGGGGAAUCGGCCACCCUGAAAUGCUGAGCAAAAGCUGCCCAGAGAAAGGCAGGCCCCUCCUCAGGUCAAGGCUUUCUCGGUUCAGAAGGUGGCCUUCCAUCACAAACUGCUCGCCCGCCCACAGUGUCAGGCUGCAGUGUCUGGAACACAACCAGGAGCCCGGGGUUAAUGAGGUGCAGGCGGAGCCCAGGCCACCAGAGGGUGAAUUAAGGCCGCACUGAGCUGCGCACCUGUGUCUCAACACUUGGACUGAACUCCAGACCUGAGUGCCGGGGACACCGGGCCAAAAGCAGGGAAGGAAUGCGUGGCUGCUGCCCACGCCGUCACCUUGGCUGGCAGCCACAGCUGACCUGGAGGGUGAAGGCCUGGAUGUCAUUCCUCCAUAGGAAACUGUUCUAGCCCCGGGCUGGAGGAACGCCAAGGCCUUGGCCCACAGAAGCCCCCGUGAGGCCCAGGCCAGCCAUGGCCCAUCUUCUCAAGCCCUGUUCGAGAAGAAAGGGGAAAAGCUCUACGAGAGAGGAACUGCUAUUGAACCAAUUUCACAGAUAAGGAAACUAAAUUGCAUUGGGGUUAAGCAGCCCAGUCAGGAUUUGAACCCAGCAGUGUUGCUGUAGAAUCUGUGCUCUUACCCAGUAUCUCAAACUACCACUGAACCACUUCUAAGGCCGCCUGCCCACUCUUAAUGAAACAAUGUUAAUGCACAAGAAAUGCUCACAGUGUCCUACUGGAGGAAUAUGGAGAGCUCAUUGGAGUGCUAUGGAAUGGGACAAACUGACAACAGAGGAGAUGGAAAUCAUUGAGGGGGAACCUAAGGAGGGUUCAUGGAGGGGGAGGAAGACAAGUAGGAGAUCUGAACACUUGGAAGAUGUGGCAAAAGUGAGGCUAACUUAAUAUCCACGUUAGGAACUAUAAACAUGUAAUGUAAAUAUCACUGAUUUCUGAGUUCUUCGUAUAAGCCAGGUGCUGUAGUAAGCUUAGAAUUUAUCUCCCUCUAGCCUGGGUAAUUCCAUGAGACCCU
Molecule: non-coding RNA, 2812 nt
Organism: Saimiri boliviensis boliviensis (Bolivian squirrel monkey)
Lineage: Eukaryota; Metazoa; Chordata; Mammalia; Primates; Cebidae
Source: RefSeq, a predicted model, not a curated record